RNAcentral lists this long non-coding RNA (359 nucleotides) under Rattus norvegicus (Norway rat). RNAcentral describes it as "long non-coding RNA NONRATT033668". Lineage: Eukaryota; Metazoa; Chordata; Mammalia; Rodentia; Muridae. The record is from RNAcentral.
CAGUGACAAUGUCUUUCUUAUCUACAUGUCUAGGAAUAGUUGAUGCUCUGACCCCUUCACCUCUAGUUCUGACGCUCAACUAACAAAGUAUCCAAAGUGCGUCUUCUCCAAUGUCUGAAGAAAAAUGCUGGCCACAUACCGUUCACCUAGAUUGGAGUCUUAGGAGGAAGGCAACUCAAGGAAUCUGAAUCUCAUCACCCUUGGAUGAUUCAGUCUGGUGCUCAUAACUUCGGAGCAAAAGAAAACAUGAAUGCCAAAACACUGAGGUCCAAGCUCCUAUGACAGUGUGUAUUGAUCAAUUUACAAGAAAAGUGAUGUGACCAGAAGCUCACGAGAUCCUGACUUGAAUUUCCCCUGGG